GUGGGAUUCCCGUGUGAAAGGGCAGCGUGGCUCUGGGCCGGGGGGCCGCUGCGGUACGGCGGCUGCUAAAACUCUCCCUGCCCCGUAAGUGCUGCUGAAAAUCCCGCUGGGAGCGUGCUGGCUGCGGGGAGGGCCAAAGCUUUUCAAGCGCUUUCACCUCGAGGUCACCGGUUCAGACUCAGCCUGGGGGCAGGGAGCACGGUAAGUGGAUGUUAUUCCUGAUGGAUGUGCGAGGGGAGGAGGAUUUAGGAGAAAUUGGUCUGGGGCGUUUUCAGGCUGGAGACUUCAGAGGAACAGACGUCCCUGUUGUUAGAGCUAAUUAGCAGCUUCGGUUCGGUGGGCAAAGGGUCGAACAAACCACGAGGCUGCUGGCUGAGCAUCCCCGGCUGCCGGCGGGCUGCGAGCUGCUCCCGGCCGGGCUGCUGGCACUUCCUUGCUCCCCGCGGGAGGCUGACCUGCUUCAAAGCACACAGACAGAGCUUUCAGGCUCUCCAAAUCCCCAGCACCUCCCAGCAGAUGCUGGAUCUCGUGCUCUGCUCCCGCAGCACGCCGGCUUUGCACUCAAGGCAUUUCUCCGGGGGCCCCCUCAGACGGUUCCCCGCCUUGGGUUUGUUUCUGAUCUCCCCGUUCCUUGGGGCACCUUCCCAGAGUUGGGUUCAAACCUAAAAAGAAAAAAGGGUUAAAAAAAGGUUAGAAAUCCCCUUCUGACUCUCCUUGUAGCUGCAGGUUGGAGGAAGCGGCCUCGCUGUGUCCAGACAGGCAGCUCUGCCUCAGAAGCUCCCACCGCAGAGCUGCCAGCCCGCCCUGCCCUGGCAGCAGAGGUUGGAGGCACGCGGGCAGCGAGCGACACGGGGUCCCCAAAGUGCUGCAGAUCCGCGAUGAUUGAAGACCUUCUCCUGGCAGACAAACCAACCGCUCCCGAGGAUGUGCACUUGGCGGGACCCCGCUGUCUCACGUCGCCCCCCCCCCGCCACCUGCCUGUCGCUGGAGAGGUGACAAAAUGGCAUCUUUCCUCCCCGGCGAGCACAGCUUUGCUUGAAACAAUGGCACAAGCCUGCAAGCCAGGAAUGCUUUGCAGCGCGGUGGAGCAGGGCCUCCUUCCCAAUUCAUCACUAAUGCAGGAACGCCAAGCCCUUCCUGGCUGCAGCGAGCACGAGAUAAAAGCUAAAAGAGGCAUCAAUAAUUAAAAACCACUCAGAGCCGGUAAGUGCAAACAGGAGCCAACAUACAGAUCGAAGGCAGCGCCAGCGACGGGGGCUGUCAGCUGCUGGGCUGCUCACAGGGAUCCCACACCCCUCUGCGUCCCCCCCCCAGCCCUCAGCCACGUGGUGACAAGGUGCCCAUGGGUCAGGAGAACAAAACGGGUGUGAGUCCGUGCAGGGAAAACCCAAAUCUUCGCUUGGGUGAUCCCAAUUCUGCUCCCACACUGCAUGGCCACAACCCUCCCCCUCUCCCCCCCGGGCUGCUCUGCCCACCGUCCCUGCUGUGGGGGGGAACUCAACGCCCACAUCCCCUGCAGCUCCCCCAGCCCUGCCCCGUGUUACCUUCCCCACAUCCUCUUCCCCAUAUCUGCAGCCCCAUGUUCCCUGCCCUGACGUCCCCUUCCCCACAUCCCCUGCCCUAUGUCUCCAGUCCCACAUCACCUGCAGCGUCCUCUUCCCCAUGUCCUCUUCUUCCUGUCCCCUUCCUUAUGUCUGCUGCCCUGUGUCCCACAUCCCCUUCCCCAUGUCCCCUGCAGUGUCCUCUUCCCCACAUCCUCUUCCCUGCCCACGUUCACUUCCCCAUAUCCCCUUCCCUAUGUCUGCUGCUGUCUCCAGUCCCGUGUCCCCUGCCCCAUGUUCCCUUCCCCAUAUCCCCCGCCAGUGUCCUCUUCCCCACGUACCCUUCCCCGUGUCUCCUGUCCUAUAUCUCCAGCCCCCUCCCCCAUGUGUCUUGCCCCAUAUCCUCUUCCCUUUCUCCAGCCCCACAUCUCCUGCCCCAUGUCCCCUUCCCUAUGUCUCUAGCCCCAAGUCCCCAGCCUCAUAUCCCCUCUUCUAUGGCUCCAGCCCCACUUCCUUGCCCCCAUAUCCCUUUCCCUAUGUCCCCUGCCCUACAACCCCAUCCUUAUAUCCCC
Gallus gallus (chicken) is the source of this 2113-nucleotide long non-coding RNA. Lineage: Eukaryota; Metazoa; Chordata; Aves; Galliformes; Phasianidae. The record is from Ensembl.